GGGUGCGUAACGCGUAUGCAACCGGCCCCCCUCACCGGGAUAGCCGGUGGAAACGCCGGAUAAUACCGGAUGUUCCCGCGGGGAGGCAUCUUCCCACGGGCAAGGCGGAGACGCGGAGGGGGACGGGCAUGCGUGCCAUUAGAUAGUCGGCGGGGUGACGGCCCACCGAGUCUACGAUGGCUAGGGGAUCUGAGAGGACGGUCCCCCACACUGGUACUGAGACACGGACCAGACUCCUGCGGGAGGCAGCAGUAAGGGAUAUUGGGCAAUGGGGGCAACCCUGACCCAGCCAUGCCGCGUGAGGGAAUGAGGCCCUACGGGUCGUGAACCUCUUUUAUUCGGGGACAAUGGCGGCGUCGCGAACGCCGUUUGAGGGUACCGAAGGAAUAAGCGUCGGCUAACUCCGUGCCAGCAGCCGCGGUAAUACGGAGGACGCGAGCGUUAUCCGGAUUCAUUGGGUUUAAAGGGUGCGCAGGCGGCCUUGCAAGUCAGCGGUGAAAGCCCGGGGCCCAACCCCGGAAGUGCCGUUGAUACUGUAGGGCUGGAAUGCGGUCGAGGCGGGCGGAACGUGGCGUGUAGCGGUGAAAUGCGUAGAUAUGCCACAGAACGCCGAUAGCGAA
Molecule: ribosomal RNA, 620 nt
Filed under: uncultured bacterium
Lineage: Bacteria
Description: bacterial SSU rRNA
Rfam family: Bacterial small subunit ribosomal RNA
Source: RNAcentral